Molecule: ribosomal RNA, 744 nt
Filed under: uncultured bacterium
Lineage: Bacteria
Description: bacterial SSU rRNA
Rfam family: Bacterial small subunit ribosomal RNA
Source: RNAcentral
CUUUGAGUGGACGAAACAAUAUCUUAGUGGCGGACGGGUGAGUAACGCGUGGAUAACCUGCCUUAUACCGGGGGAUAACACUUAGAAAUAGGUGCUAAUACCGCAUAAGCGCACAGCUUCGCAUGAAGCAGUGUGAAAAACUCCGGUGGUAUAAGAUGGAUCCGCGUCUGAUUAGCUAGUUGGUGGGGUAAUGGCUCACCAAGGCGACGAUCAGUAGCCGGCCUGAGAGGGUGAACGGCCACAUUGGGACUGAGACACGGCCCAAACUCCUACGGGAGGCAGCAGUGGGGAAUAUUGCACAAUGGGCGAAAGCCUGAUGCAGCGACGCCGCGUGAGUGAAGAAGUAUUUCGGUACGUAAAGCUCUAUCAGCAAGGAAGAAAAUGACGGUACUUGACUAAGAAGCCCCGGCUAACUACGUGCCAGCAGCCGCGGUAAUACGUAGGGGGCAAGCGUUAUCCGGAUUUACUGGGUGUAAAGGGAGCGUAGACGGUAUGGUAAGUCAGAUGUGAAAGCCCGGGGCUCAACCCCGGGACUGCAUUUGAAACUAUCAGACUAGAGUGCAGGAGAGGUAAGUGGAAUUCCUAGUGUAGCGGUGAAAUGCGUAGAUAUUAGGAGGAACACCAGUGGCGAAGGCGACUUACUGGACUGUAACUGACGUUGAGGCUCGAAAGCGUGGGGAGCAAACAGGAUUAGAUACCCUGGUAGUCCACGCCGUAAACGAUGAGUACUAGGUGUCGGGGGUC